Molecule: ribosomal RNA, 1983 nt
Filed under: human gut metagenome
Description: bacterial LSU rRNA
Rfam family: Bacterial large subunit ribosomal RNA
Source: RNAcentral
UUAAGUUAAUAAGGGCGCACGGUGGAUGCCUUGGCACUAGAAGCCGAUGAAGGACGUGACUAACGACGAAAUGCUUUGGGGAGCUGUAAGUGAGCAAUGAUCCAGAGAUGUCCGAAUGGGGGAACCCGGCAGGUAAUACCUGUCACUCAUUACUGUUAAGGUAAUGUAGAGGAAGACGCAGUGAACUGAAACAUCUAAGUAGCUGCAGGAAGAGAAAGCAAAAGCGAUUGCCUUAGUAGCGGCGAGCGAAACGGCAAGAGGGCAAACCGAAGAGUUUACUCUUCGGGGUUGUAGGACUGCAACGUGGACUUAAAGAUUAUAGAAGAACUACCUGGGAAGGUAGGCCAAAGAGAGUAAUAGCCUCGUAUUCGAAAUAGUCUUUAUACCUAGCAGUAUCCUGAGUACGGCGAGACACGAGAAAUCUCGUCGGAAUCUGGGAGGACCAUCUCCCAACCCUAAAUACUCUCUAGUGACCGAUAGUGAACCAGUACCGUGAGGGAAAGGUGAAAAGCACCCCGGGAGGGGAGUGAAAUAGAACCUGAAACCGUGUGCCUACAACAAGUUCGAGCCCGUUAAUGGGUGAGAGCGUGCCUUUUGUAGAAUGAACCGGCGAGUUACGAUAUGAUGCGAGGUUAAGUUGAAGAGACGGAGCCGUAGGGAAACCGAGUCUUAAUAGGGCGCAUUAGUAUCAUGUCGUAGACCCGAAACCAUGUGACCUACCCAUGAGCAGGUUGAAGGUGAGGUAAAACUCACUGGAGGACCGAACCAGGGCACGUUGAAAAGUGCUUGGAUGACUUGUGGGUAGCGGAGAAAUUCCAAACGAACUUGGAGAUAGCUGGUUCUCUCCGAAAUAGCUUUAGGGCUAGCGUCGAUGUUAAGUCUCUUGGAGGUAGAGCACUGUUUGGGUGAGGGGUCCAUCCCGGAUUACCAAUCUCAGAUAAACUCCGAAUGCCAACGAGAUAUAAUCGGCAGUCAGACUGCGAGUGCUAAGAUCCGUAGUCGAAAGGGAAACAGCCCAGACCACCAGCUAAGGUCCCAAAAUAUAUGUUAAGUGGAAAAGGAUGUGGGGUUGCACAGACAACUAGGAUGUUAGCUUAGAAGCAGCUAUUCAUUCAAAGAGUGCGUAAUAGCUCACUAGUCGAGUGACCCUGCGCCGAAAAUGUACCGGGGCUAAAACAUAUUACCGAAGCUGUGGAUACCUUUAUAGGUAUGGUAGGAGAGCGUUCUAUGUGCGAAGAAGGUGUACCGUGAGGAGUGCUGGAGCGCAUAGAAGUGAGAAUGCCGGUAUGAGUAGCGAAAGACAGGUGAGAAUCCUGUCCACCGUAAGACUAAGGUUUCCAGGGGAAGGCUCGUCCGCCCUGGGUUAGUCGGGACCUAAGGAGAGACCGAAAGGUGUAUCCGAUGGACAACAGGUUGAUAUUCCUGUACUAGAGUAUAUAGUGAUGGAGGGACGCAGUAGGCUAACUAAACCAGACGAUUGGAAGUGUCUGGCCAAGCAGUGAGGUGUGAUAUGAGUCAAAUGCUUAUAUCUAUAACAUUGAGCUGUGAUGGGGAGCGAAGUUUAGUAGCGAAGUUAGUGAUGUCACACUGCCGAGAAAAGCUUCUAGCGUUAAUUAUACUCUACCCGUACCGCAAACCGACACAGGUAGUCGAGGCGAGUAGCCUCAGGUGAGCGAGAGAACUCUCGUUAAGGAACUCGGCAAAAUGGCCCCGUAACUUCGGGAGAAGGGGCGCUGACUUAUGGUCAGCCGCAGUGAAUAGGCCCAAGCAACUGUUUAUCAAAAACACAGCUCUCUGCUAAAUCGUAAGAUGAUGUAUAGGGGGUGACGCCUGCCCGGUGCUGGAAGGUUAAGAGGAGUGCUUAGCGUAAGCGAAGGUAUGAAUUGAAGCCCCAGUAAACGGCGGCCGUAACUAUAACGGUCCUAAGGUAGCGAAAUUCCUUGUCGGGUAAGUUCCGACCCGCACGAAAGGCGUAAUGAUUUG